RNAcentral lists this long non-coding RNA (3727 nucleotides) under Homo sapiens (human). RNAcentral describes it as "HSALNT0363277". The stretch from base 1163 to 1321 matches the Rfam family "Nuclear enriched abundant transcript 1 conserved region 3". The record is from RNAcentral. Lineage: Eukaryota; Metazoa; Chordata; Mammalia; Primates; Hominidae.
GGAGUUAGCGACAGGGAGGGAUGCGCGCCUGGGUGUAGUUGUGGGGGAGGAAGUGGCUAGCUCAGGGCUUCAGGGGACAGACAGGGAGAGAUGACUGAGUUAGAUGAGACGAGGGGGCGGGCUGGGGGUGCGAGAAGGAAGCUUGGCAAGGAGACUAGGUCUAGGGGGACCACAGUGGGGCAGGCUGCAUGGAAAAUAUCCGCAGGGUCCCCCAGGCAGAACAGCCACGCUCCAGGCCAGGCUGUCCCUACUGCCUGGUGGAGGGGGAACUUGACCUCUGGGAGGGCGCCGCUCUUGCAUAGCUGAGCGAGCCCGGGUGCGCUGGUCUGUGUGGAAGGAGGAAGGCAGGGAGAGGUAGAAGGGGUGGAGGAGUCAGGAGGAAUAGGCCGCAGCAGCCCUGGAAAUGAUCAGGAAGGCAGGCAGUGGGUGCAGGGCUGCAGGAGGGCCGGGAGGGCUAAUCUUCAACUUGUCCAUGCCAGCAGCCCCUUUUUUUCCAGACCAAGGGCUGUGAACCCGCCUGGGGAUGAGGCCUGGUCUUGUGGAACUGAACUUAGCUCGACGGGGCUGACCGCUCUGGCCCAGGGUGGUAUGUAAUUUUCGCUCGGCCUGGGACGGGGCCCAGGCCGGGCCCAGCCUGGUGGAGCGUCCAGGUCUGGGUGCGAAGCCAGGCCCCUGGGCGGAGGUGAGGGGUGGUCUGAGGAGUGAUGUGGAGUUAAGGCGCCAUCCUCACCGGUGACUGGUGCGGCACCUAGCAUGUUUGACAGGCGGGGACUGCGAGGCACGCUGCUCGGGUGUUGGGGACAACAUUGACCAACGCUUUAUUUUCCAGGUGGCAGUGCUCCUUUUGGACUUUUCUCUAGGUUUGGCGCUAAACUCUUCUUGUGAGCUCACUCCACCCCUUCUUCCUCCCUUUAACUUAUCCAUUCACUUAAAACAUUACCUGGUCAUCUGGUAAGCCCGGGACAGUAAGCCGAGUGGCUGUUGGAGUCGGUAUUGUUGGUAAUGGUGGAGGAAGAGAGGCCUUCCCGCUGAGGCUGGGGUGGGGCGGAUCGGUGUUGCUUGCCUGCAGAGAGGGUGGGGAGUGAAUGUGCACCCUUGGGUGGGCCUGCAGCCAUCCAGCUGAAAGUUACAAAAAUGCUUCAUGGACCGUGGUUUGUUACUAUAGUGUUCCUCAUGGCGAGCAGAUGGAACCGGGAGACAUGGAGUCCCUGGCCAGUGUGAGUCCUAGCAUUGCAGGAGGGGAGACCCUGGAGGAGAGAGCCCGCCUCAAUUGAUGCCUGCAGAUUGAAUUUCCAGAGGCUUAGGAGGAGGAAGUUCUCCAAUGUUCUGUUUCCAGGCCUUGCUCAGGAAGCCCUGUAUUCAGGAGGCUACCAUUUAAAGUUUGCAGAUGAGCUUAUGGGGGGCAAUCUUAAAAAGUCCACAGCAGAUGCAUCCGGCUCGAGGGGCCAUCAGCUUUGAAUAAAUGCUUGUUCCAGAGCCCAUGAAUGCCAGCAGGCACCCCUCCUUUCCUGGGGUAAAGGUUUUCAGAUGCUGCAUCUUCUAAAUUGAGCCUCCGGUCAUACUAGUUUUGUGCUUGGAACCUUGCUUCAAGAAGAUCCCUAAGCUGUAGAACAUUUUAACGUUGAUGCCACAACGCAGAUUGAUGCCUUGUAGAUGGAGCUUGCAGAUGGAGCCCCGUGACCUCUCACCUACCCACCUGUUUGCCUGCCUUCUUGUGCGUUUCUCGGAGAAGUUCUUAGCCUGAUGAAAUAACUUGGGGCGUUGAAGAGCUGUUUAAUUUUAAAUGCCUUAGACUGGGGAUAUAUUAGAGGAAGCAGAUUGUCAAAUUAAGGGUGUCAUUGUGUUGUGCUAAACGCUGGGAGGGUACAAGUUGGUCAUUCCUAAAUCUGUGUGUGAGAAAUGGCAGGUCUAGUUUGGGCAUUGUGAUUGCAUUGCAGAUUACUAGGAGAAGGGAAUGGUGGGUACACCGGUAGUGCUCUUUUGUUCUUGCUUCGUUUUUUUAAACUUGAACUUUACUUCGUUAGAUUUCAUAAUACUUUCUUGGCAUUCUAGUAAGAGGACCCUGAGGUGGGAGUUGUGGGGGACGGGGAGAAGGGGACAGCUUGGCACCGGUCCCGUGGGCGUUGCAGUGUGGGGGAUGGGGGUAUGCAGCUUGGCACUGGUACUGGGAGGGAUGAGGGUGAAGAAGGGGAGAGGGUUGGUUAGAGAUACAGUGUGGGUGGUGGGGGUGGUAGGAAAUGCAGGUUGAAGGGAAUUCUCUGGGGCUUUGGGGAAUUUAGUGCGUGGGUGAGCCAAGAAAAUACUAAUUAAUAAUAGUAAGUUGUUAGUGUUGGUUAAGUUGUUGCUUGGAAGUGAGAAGUUGCUUAGAAACUUUCCAAAGUGCUUAGAACUUUAAGUGCAAACAGACAAACUAACAAACAAAAAUUGUUUUGCUUUGCUACAAGGUGGGGAAGACUGAAGAAGUGUUAACUGAAAACAGGUGACACAGAGUCACCAGUUUUCCGAGAACCAAAGGGAGGGGUGUGUGAUGCCAUCUCACAGGCAGGGGAAAUGUCUUUACCAGCUUCCUCCUGGUGGCCAAGACAGCCUGUUUCAGAGGGUUGUUUUGUUUGGGGUGUGGGUGUUAUCAAGUGAAUUAGUCACUUGAAAGAUGGGCGUCAGACUUGCAUACGCAGCAGAUCAGCAUCCUUCGCUGCCCCUUAGCAACUUAGGUGGUUGAUUUGAAACUGUGAAGGUGUGAUUUUUUCAGGAGCUGGAAGUCUUAGAAAAGCCUUGUAAAUGCCUAUAUUGUGGGCUUUUAACGUAUUUAAGGGACCACUUAAGACGAGAUUAGAUGGGCUCUUCUGGAUUUGUUCCUCAUUUGUCACAGGUGUCUUGUGAUUGAAAAUCAUGAGCGAAGUGAAAUUGCAUUGAAUUUCAAGGGAAUUUAGUAUGUAAAUCGUGCCUUAGAAACACAUCUGUUGUCUUUUCUGUGUUUGGUCGAUAUUAAUAAUGGCAAAAUUUUUGCCUAUCUAGUAUCUUCAAAUUGUAGUCUUUGUAACAACCAAAUAACCUUUUGUGGUCACUGUAAAAUUAAUAUUUGGUAGACAGAAUCCAUGUACCUUUGCUAAGGUUAGAAUGAAUAAUUUAUUGUAUUUUUAAUUUGAAUGUUUGUGCUUUUUAAAUGAGCCAAGACUAGAGGGGAAACUAUCACCUAAAAUCAGUUUGGAAAACAAGACCUAAAAAGGGAAGGGGAUGGGGAUUGUGGGGAGAGAGUGGGCGAGGUGCCUUUACUACAUGUGUGAUCUGAAAACCCUGCUUGGUUCUGAGCUGCGUCUAUUGAAUUGGUAAAGUAAUACCAAUGGCUUUUUAUCAUUUCCUUCUUCCCUUUAAGUUUCACUUGAAAUUUUAAAAAUCAUGGUUAUUUUUAUCGUUGGGAUCUUUCUGUCUUCUGGGUUCCAUUUUUUAAAUGUUUAAAAAUAUGUUGACAUGGUAGUUCAGUUCUUAACCAAUGACUUGGGGAUGAUGCAAACAAUUACUGUCGUUGGGAUUUAGAGUGUAUUAGUCACGCAUGUAUGGGGAAGUAGUCUCGGGUAUGCUGUUGUGAAAUUGAAACUGUAAAAGUAGAUGGUUGAAAGUACUGGUAUGUUGCUCUGUAUGGUAAGAACUAAUUCUGUUACGUCAUGUACAUAAUUACUAAUCACUUUUCUUCCCCUUUACAGCACAAAUAAAGUUUGAGUUCUAAACU